Molecule: ribosomal RNA, 371 nt
Filed under: uncultured bacterium
Lineage: Bacteria
Description: bacterial SSU rRNA
Rfam family: Bacterial small subunit ribosomal RNA
Source: RNAcentral
GGAGGGUGCGAGCGUUGUUCGGAAUUACUGGGCGUAAAGCGCGUGUAGGCAGCCUUCUAAGUCUGGUGUGAAAGCCCGGGGCUCAACUCCGGAAGUGCAUUGGAUACUGGGAGGCUGGAGUACCGGAGAGGAGGGUGGAAUUCCUGGUGUAGCGGUGAAAUGCGUAGAUAUCAGGAGGAACACCGGUGGCGAAGGUGGCCCUCUGGACGGAUACUGACGCUGAGACGCGAAAGCGUGGGGAGCAAACAGGAUUAGAUACCCUGGUAGUCCACGCCGUAAACGAUGGGCACUAGGUGUUCGGGGUAUUGACCCCCUGAGUGCCGCAGCUAACGCAUUAAGUGCCCCGCCUGGGGAAUACGGCCGCAAGGUUA